Molecule: ribosomal RNA, 271 nt
Filed under: uncultured bacterium
Lineage: Bacteria
Description: partial 16S ribosomal RNA
Rfam family: Bacterial small subunit ribosomal RNA
Source: RNAcentral
UACGAAGGGAGCUAGCGUUACUCGGAAUCAUUGGGCGUAAAGCGUGCGUAGGCGGUCUUAUAAGUCAGAAGUGAAAGCCUGGGGCUCAACCUCAGAACUGCUUUUGAAACUAUAAGACUUGAGUAUCAGAGGGGAUAGCGGAAUUCCUAGAGUAGAAGUGAAAUUCGUAGAUAUUAGGAGGAACACCGGUGGCGAAGGCGGCUAUCUGGCUGAAUACUGACGCUGUUGCACGAAAGCGUGGGGAGCAAACAGGAUUAGAUACCCUGGUAGU